UCCUGGUAAGCUCAGUUGGUAGAGCGCUUCACUGGAAAUGGAGAGGUCCCUUAUUCGAUACCAGGACCAAACGGAU
This 76-nucleotide transfer RNA is filed under the name Ixodes scapularis (black-legged tick). Its description in RNAcentral is "tRNA-Ser". The stretch from base 1 to 67 matches the Rfam family "tRNA". Rfam says of the family: Transfer RNA (tRNA) molecules are approximately 80 nucleotides in length. Their secondary structure includes four short double-helical elements and three loops (D, anti-codon, and T loops). The record is from RNAcentral. Lineage: Eukaryota; Metazoa; Arthropoda; Arachnida; Ixodida; Ixodidae.